UNUGGUUACUGACCCUAUGGAUGCCUUAGC
RNAcentral lists this non-coding RNA (30 nucleotides) under Rattus norvegicus (Norway rat). Lineage: Eukaryota; Metazoa; Chordata; Mammalia; Rodentia; Muridae. The record is from RNAcentral.